This 552-nucleotide long non-coding RNA is filed under the name Medicago truncatula (barrel medic). Its description in RNAcentral is "long non-coding RNA (MTRU_LNC004518)". Lineage: Eukaryota; Viridiplantae; Streptophyta; Magnoliopsida; Fabales; Fabaceae. The record is from RNAcentral.
UUGUGUAGCAUUACUCUGUAUGGUGGUGAUGUCUUUUUUGAUUUCCUAGUAACAAAAACAAAAAAAUAUGUUAUCAAAGGUUUUUUUUUUUUUUUUUUUUGGAUCAAGUAGCCUGGUGGCUAGAGCUCACACAAUUUAAUUGUGGAGAAGUGGAGUGUUCGGAGUUCGAACCCCGGCUCCUGCAUAUAAUAUGCAAUAUCCCUACCAGCUGAGUUAAGCUCACGGGAAUUGUUAUCAAAGGUUUUGAACUAUGUAGCAUGGAUACAGACACAUACAUCAUAUAUGUCAAUGGCUUGCAAAAUAGAAAUGAUGCAUAUAAUCACAAGUGUUAAUAUCAUGUCAGGCAUUGGAACACGCCUUCAAUCUAAAGUACUAAGAAAAUCGCUAUUAGACGACCAAUUUAGCGAUCAUAUUUUUUUUAUCGGUUUGUAAAUGAUUUUUGACUAAUAUAGAGACUGAUUUACGAAAUGUUUUUAAACCGCUGAUUUCUAAAUUUUUUUUUUUUUUUAAGAAAUUAAAUUAGCCUACCCAAAUUGACAUCGGAAAGAAUCG